AUGGAGGCAUAUGCUAUCAGAAGCGCGACAGGGUGGACGCCAUCACCUCCUCCCCAUCCCCGGCCUCCUUCCGUGACGCAUCCCGCAGCGGCGCCCACCGCGGCGCCUGCCGGCCGCCCUCGCGGCUGGCUGCUUGCGCGGCAACGACGGCGGUCUCGUCGUCCCCGGAGGCCGCGGUGCCUCAAGGCCGACCUGGCGCCCCCUCCUCGCCCUUCCGCCACCUCUGAUCUGGGGUUCGGUUUGCGUGCAACGGCGGUGGCGUACGAGGCGAACAAGCCGCUGGUGGUCGAGGACGUGCAGGUGGCGCCGCCGCUGGCCGGCGAGUCUGCGUCAAGGUCCUCUCCACUGUGCUCUGCCACACCGUCUACUACACCUGGAGCGGCAAGGAUCCCGAGGGCCUCUUUCCUUGCAUUCUCGGUGACAAGGCUGUUGGCCGCUGUUGCAGAUGAUGAGCCUUUGGUUGUUCCGCUUGAUUGUGAAUGGAUAUGGCACUGCCAUCGGCUUAACUCGACUCGAUACAUAAAAGACCGCAAGAGAUUAUAUGGCAGGAUACUGGACCCUAACAUUGUCAAGUCUUCCAUUCAAGCAAAGUCCAAGGAUCGGUCCAAGAUGGAAUUCUUAAUCUCGGCUGAUUCCAGAUUCUGCCAAGUGCUAGCUAGCUCCAAAAGCAAAUGUCUUCAUUUGGAAGAUGCAGCAUUCUAUCAGAAUCCAUUCUCCUGCUCUUUUUCUUGUACUGAUUUGAUUCGGUACAAGGGGUUCAUCGUGCCAGGCUCCUCUUUUCUGCUGCUUCCAUGCAACGGUGGUAGCGGUGGUGCUGUUUGGCAUUGGCUACAAAAAACACCCACGAUAUCUGAAGGUUGUUCACCCAAGUGCUGCGCCUUUAGGGUCAACCCCACGGUGAAUUUAGAUGGCGGUCAUUUGGUUUUCAAGGGGGUUUCGUUUAUGAUAGCCAUGGAGCAGGAAAACCGGCAUGCUACUAAAGCUAAGAUGGUUAUGAGAAGAUAUGCUGCUGGAAAGAUGCUCUUAGCAAACUGGAAGGGCUGCAACCAAAUCCAAUCGACAACAUGGCAGUGGUCUCUGAAUAUCUAA
RNAcentral lists this ribosomal RNA (1089 nucleotides) under Triticum aestivum (bread wheat). RNAcentral describes it as "partial small subunit ribosomal RNA". The record is from RNAcentral. Lineage: Eukaryota; Viridiplantae; Streptophyta; Magnoliopsida; Poales; Poaceae.